AAGCCAUGGUGAGGACAAGCAUUGAUAGCUUCCAUGUAUCUCUCCCAACAUUCAUAGAAUUUAUCAUUCUCCUUAGCUGAGAAGUUUGAGAUUUGCCUUUUCAAGCU
Molecule: small nucleolar RNA, 107 nt
Filed under: Vitis vinifera (wine grape)
Lineage: Eukaryota; Viridiplantae; Streptophyta; Magnoliopsida; Vitales; Vitaceae
Description: Plant small nucleolar RNA R71
Rfam family: Plant small nucleolar RNA R71
About the family: R71 is a member of the C/D box family of snoRNAs containing the C (UGAUGA) and D (CUGA) box motifs. Multiple nearly identical copies of this snoRNA have been identified in Arabidopsis, and it is thought to function as a 2'-O-ribose methylation guide for 18S ribosomal RNA.
Source: Rfam by way of RNAcentral